Molecule: ribosomal RNA, 253 nt
Filed under: uncultured bacterium
Lineage: Bacteria
Description: partial 16S ribosomal RNA
Rfam family: Bacterial small subunit ribosomal RNA
Source: RNAcentral
UACAGAGGGUGCAAGCGUUGUUCGGAAUUAUUGGGCGUAAAGGGCGCGUAGGCGGUGCGGUAAGUCUGCAGUGAAAUCUCUGGGCUCAACUCAGAGUCUGCUGUAGAAACUGCCGUGCUUGAGUGUGGGAGAGGUGAGUGGAAUUCCGAGUGUAGAGGUGAAAUUCGUAGAUAUCGGGAGGAACACCUGUGGCGAAAGCGGCUCACUGGACCACAACUGACGCUGAGGCGCGAAAGCUAGGGGAGCAAACAGG